UACGAAGGGGGCUAGCGUUGUUCGGAUUUACUGGGCGUAAAGCGCACGUAGGCGGAUUGGUCAGUUAGAGGUGAAAUCCCGAAGCUCAACUUCGGAACUGCCUUUAAUACUGCCAAUCUAGAGUCCGGAAGAGGUGAGUGGAACUCCUAGUGUAGAGGUGGAAUUCGUAGAUAUUAGGAAGAACACCAGUGGCGAAGGCGGCUCACUGGUCCGGUACUGACGCUGAGACGCGAAAGCGUGGGGAGCAAACAGG
This 253-nucleotide ribosomal RNA is filed under the name uncultured bacterium. RNAcentral describes it as "partial 16S ribosomal RNA". It matches the Rfam family "Bacterial small subunit ribosomal RNA", at positions 524 to 776 of the family's 1533-position model. The record is from RNAcentral.